UAGGCGGUUUGUCGCGUCUGCCGUGAAAGUCCGGGGCUUAACUCCGGAUCUGCGGUGGGUACGGGCAGACUAGAGUGCAGUAGGGGAGACUGGAAUUCCUGGUGUAGCGGUGAAAUGCGCAGAUAUCAGGAGGAACACCGAUGGCGAAGGCAGGUCUCUGGGCUGUAACUGACGCUGAGGAGCGAAAGCAUGGGGAGCGAACAGGAUUAGAUACCCUGGUAGUCCAUGCCGUAAACGUUGGGCACUAGGUGUGGGGGACAUUCCACGUUUUCCGCGCCGUAGCUAACGCAUUAAGUGCCCCGCCUGGGGAGUACGGCCGCAAGGCUAAAACUCAAAGGAAUUGACGGGGGCCCGCACAAGCGGCGGAGCAUGCGGAUUAAUUCGAUGCAACGCGAAGAACCUUACCAAGGCUUGACAUGAACCGGAAUGAUGCAGAGAUGUGUCAGCCACUUGUGGCCGGUUUACAGGUGGUGCAUGGUUGUCGUCAGCUCGUGUCGUGAGAUGUUGGGUUAAGUCCCGCAACGAGCGCAACCCUCGUUCCAUGUUGCCAGCGGGUUAUGCCGGGGACUCAUGGGAGACUGCCGGGGUCAACUCGGAGGAAGGUGGGGACGACGUCAAAUCAUCAUGCCCCUUAUGUCUUGGGCUUCACGCAUGCUACAAUGGCCGGUACAAAGGGUUGCGAUACUGUGAGGUGGAGCUAAUCCCAAAAAGCCGGUCUCAGUUCGGAUUGAGGUCUGCAACUCGACCUCAU
Molecule: ribosomal RNA, 751 nt
Filed under: uncultured bacterium
Lineage: Bacteria
Description: bacterial SSU rRNA
Rfam family: Bacterial small subunit ribosomal RNA
Source: RNAcentral